This is a non-coding RNA of Cajanus cajan (pigeon pea), 235 nucleotides long. Lineage: Eukaryota; Viridiplantae; Streptophyta; Magnoliopsida; Fabales; Fabaceae. The record is from Rfam.
ACACCCAUAUAUAUGGCAUGCUUCGCUCUCCUUCCUAACCGAUGUGGGUCGUACCUCUGUAUCCUUGAGAUCUAAGGAGACAGGAACCUACGUCUGGUUGAUGAGCCACGACCGUGUGAUCAGAGCGUGAUUAACUGUCUGAUGUGUUCCUCUAGGGGGAGCUUCAUCUGCGACUGUAGAGGAUCGUUCUUGGUCCAGUGGUGGCCGAGAUGGUCACACGGUUGUCUGACAGACC